This 73-nucleotide transfer RNA is filed under the name Ovis aries (sheep). It matches the Rfam family "tRNA". From Rfam's summary of the family: Transfer RNA (tRNA) molecules are approximately 80 nucleotides in length. Their secondary structure includes four short double-helical elements and three loops (D, anti-codon, and T loops). Lineage: Eukaryota; Metazoa; Chordata; Mammalia; Artiodactyla; Bovidae. The record is from Rfam by way of RNAcentral.
UCCCUGGUGGUUCAGUGGUUAAGACUCCUCACUUGCACUGCAGGGGACACGGGUUCAAUCCCUGGUCAGGGAA